GAUGAAGAACGUAGCGAAAUGCGAUAAGUAAUGUGAAUUGCAGAAUUCAGUGAAUCAUCGAAUCUUUGAACGCACAUUGCGCCCAUUAGUAUUCUAGUGGGCAUGCCUGUUCGAGCGUCAUUUCAACCCUCAAGCCUUAGUUGCUUGGUGUUGGGAGCUUAUCUUGCCGAAAGGCGGGACAACUCCUUAAAUUUAUCGGCGGAGUCGCGGUGACCCCAAGCGUAGUAAAUUAUUUUUUCCUCGCUUUAGGUGUUAACGCUGGCUUUUCUAGCCGUUAAACCCCCCCUUAUAUUUUAAUGGUUGACCUCGGAUCAGGUAGGACUACCCGCUGAACUUAAGCAUAUCAAUAAGCGGAGGA
Molecule: unclassified non-coding RNA, 358 nt
Filed under: soil metagenome
Description: partial contains 5.8S ribosomal RNA, internal transcribed spacer 2, and large subunit ribosomal RNA
Rfam family: 5.8S ribosomal RNA (bases 1-120)
Source: RNAcentral